GCCAGACUCCUACGGGAGGCAGCAGUGGGGGAUAUUGCACAAUGGGGGAAACCCUGAUGCAGCGACGCCGCGUGGGCGAAGAAGUAUUUCGGUAUGUAAAGCCCUCUCAGCAGGGAAGAAGAAAUGACGGUACCUGAGUAAGAAGCACCGGCUAAAUACGUGCCAGCAGCCGCGGUAAUACGUAUGGUGCAAGCGUUAUCCGGAUUUACUGGGUGUAAAGGGAGCGUAGACGGCCAGACAAGUCUGAAGUGAAAAUCCAGCGCUUAACGUUGGAAGUGCUUUGGAAACUGCCGGGCUAGAGUGCAGGAGGGGCAGGCGGAAUUCCUAGUGUAGCGGUGAAAUGCGUAGAUAUUAGGAGGAACACCAGUGGCGAAGGCGGCCUGCUGGACUGCAACUGACGUUGAGGCUCGAAGGCGUGGGGAGCAAACAGGAUUAGAUACCCCCGUAA
This 448-nucleotide ribosomal RNA is filed under the name uncultured bacterium. Its description in RNAcentral is "bacterial SSU rRNA". It matches the Rfam family "Bacterial small subunit ribosomal RNA", at positions 330 to 793 of the family's 1533-position model. The record is from RNAcentral.